RNAcentral lists this ribosomal RNA (450 nucleotides) under uncultured bacterium. RNAcentral's name for it is "bacterial SSU rRNA". It matches the Rfam family "Bacterial small subunit ribosomal RNA", at positions 329 to 793 of the family's 1533-position model. The record is from RNAcentral.
CACCAGACUCCUACGGGAGGCAGCAGUGGGGAAUAUUGGGCAAUGGGCGCAAGCCUGACCCAGCAACGCCGCGUGAAGGAAGAAGGCUUUCGGGUUGUAAACUUCUUUUCUCAGGGACGAAGAAAGUGACGGUACCUGGGGAAUAAGCCACGGCUAACUACGUGCCAGCAGCCGCGGUAAUACGUAGGUGGCAAGCGUUGUCCGGAUUUACUGGGUGUAAAGGGCGUGCAGCCGGAGAGACAAGUCAGAUGUGAAAUCCACGGGCUCAACCCGUGAACUGCAUUUGAAACUGUUUCCCUUGAGUGUCGGAGAGGCAGGCGGAAUUCCUAGUGUAGCGGUGAAAUGCGUAGAUAUUAGGAGGAACACCAGUGGCGAAGGCGGCCUGCUGGACGACAACUGACGGUGAGGCGCGAAAGCGUGGGGAGCAAACAGGAUUAGAUACCCCGGUAA